RNAcentral lists this ribosomal RNA (460 nucleotides) under uncultured bacterium. RNAcentral describes it as "partial 16S ribosomal RNA". It matches the Rfam family "Bacterial small subunit ribosomal RNA", at positions 338 to 795 of the family's 1533-position model. The record is from RNAcentral.
CCUACGGGUGGCAGCAGUGAGGAAUAUUUGUCAAUGGACGAGAGUCUGAACCAGCCAAGUAGCGUGCAGGAUGACUGCCCUAUGGGUUGUAAACUUCUUUUAUAUGGGAAUAAAAUGUUCCACGUGUGGGAUUUUGUAUGUACCAUAUGAAUAAGGAUCGGCUAACUCCGUGCCAGCAGCCGAGGUAAUACGGAGGUGCCGAGCGUUAUCCGGAUUUAUUGGGUUUAAAGGGCGAGUAGGUGGUUUGUUAAGUCAGUUGGGAAAGUUUACGGCUGAAACGUAAAAGUGCAGUUGAAACUGGUAGUCUUGAGUGCAGUAGAGGUGGGCGGAAUUCGUGGUGUAGCGGUGAAAUGCUUAGAUAUCACGAAGAACUCCGAUUGCGAAGGCAGCUCACUGGAGUGCAACUGACACUGAGGCACGAAAGUGUGGGUAUCAAACAGGAGUAGAUACCCGUGUAGUC